UAUGUGAUCGUCUCUCGCAUAUCAAUAAGCGGAGGAAAAGAAACUAACAAGGAUUCCCCUAGUAACGGCGAGUGAAGCGGGAAGAGCUCAAAUUCGAAAUCUUAAAGGAUUUCCCUUUACGAAUUGUAGUUUAAAGAAGUGUUUUCUGUUGAGGUUUUGGUAAAAGUUCUUUGGAAUAGGACAUCAUAGAGGGGUGAGAAUCCCGUAUUUGACCUUUACUUUCAACUUUGUGAUACAGCUUUCAAAGAGUCGGAUUGUUUGGGAAUGCAGUCCGAAAUGGGUGGUAAAUUUCAUCUAAAGCUAAAUAUUGGCGAGAGACCGAUAGCGAACAAGUACCGUGAGGGAAAGAUGAAAAGAACUUUGAAAAGAGAGUUAAACAGUACGUGAAAUUGUCAAAAGGGAAGCGUUUGACACCAGUGUUGUUUUUCUGAAAAUCAAUUAAAGAACUGUUUAUGCUAAGUUGUUUAGACUUUAUCAGCUAACUGUUUAGUUUUGAGCUUUUCUUUAAUGCACUUUUCAGUUAACAGGUCAACAUCAAUUUCUUUUGCUGUAAAAAAGCUUGAGGAAGGUGGCUUGAGAUUCGUCUUAAGUGUUUAUAGCCUCUUGCCUAUGCAGUCGGAGAGAUUGAGGUCUGCAGCGUAGAUCCUUCGGGGCUAAAUGCAUUUGUGCUAAGUUAUAGCAUUUUAUAGACAACUUGUUGACUAUGAUUUGUCUUGUAGCUUACUCGCUUAUGUUAUUUUACCUACGCUUAGGAUGUUGACACACGCGCGUGCUCG
Molecule: ribosomal RNA, 776 nt
Filed under: uncultured Neocallimastigales
Lineage: Eukaryota; Fungi; Neocallimastigomycota; Neocallimastigomycetes; Neocallimastigales
Description: partial large subunit ribosomal RNA
Rfam family: Eukaryotic large subunit ribosomal RNA
Source: RNAcentral